Molecule: long non-coding RNA, 236 nt
Filed under: Carica papaya (papaya)
Lineage: Eukaryota; Viridiplantae; Streptophyta; Magnoliopsida; Brassicales; Caricaceae
Description: long non-coding RNA (CPAP_LNC008038)
Source: RNAcentral
GAUGACGCGGUGGGACCCGUUGAAGGUGGUUGUGGUGAUGAUAUGAUGAUGGGACGUUACAGAAGCACUGUGAUGGAUGGGCUGGAUGGGGCCCACUUCUGUGACAGGCCCAGGAAUCUCUGUCGUUAUGUCCUCAGAUACACAGGACAGAGUUCCCUCUUCGUUUGUCCGUUUCGGCUGAGUUGACCCGUUGACUCGGCCUGGUUCCCUCUUUCACUCGCUGCCACGUGGAGGGC